UAAGAUAAUAAAUGUAGCCUUGUACCUAUUGAAGAAGACUGGGCCCUGUUCAAUAAGAGAUGCGAGAAAUGGGGAGCUAGUUAAUGUUUCCAAUCAAGGGGAUGACAUGGAAAGCAGACCCAUCUAGUGUGGACGUGUUAAUAGAAAGACAGGAGGAGAGAAGGCCGUCGUCUAUACAAUGGCCAGGAUGGAGAAGCUAAGCCGUUAAGACCAGCUGGGGCAAAUGGAAGAAGACCUCAGGUUAUAUAGUAGCUUGCGGUUGCCAAGGCCAAAAUUUCUGUCCCAAAUUAUUGCCUUUUUUGAAAAGCUUAAUUGACCUAUACAUACAAAGACACAAACCCUUAGCAUCUGCUAGACUAAGUCCUAGGAUGAUGCGUCUGCAAUAAUCCUUCCCCUGGUAAUUAGCCUCUGUCCUGGCUUGUUCUGGUUUUGUUCUGGUUCUCAGUCCAAAAAGAUACAGUCUCAACAAAUGCCAAAGAACAGGAGUGAGUUUCCUCCUGACCUCUCUGCUCCUUGGUUAUGAUCUUAGCUCCCUGCGUCCCUUCCCAGCACAGGACGCCAAUGAAUGUUGCAAUCUCCACCUUUCCCAGCUUGGAGAAGCGUAGCCCUGUCUGUCCUCACCGUAUUCCCUUCCAGUGAUCAUCUGAAGGAUUAAUUAUACAACACACUCAUGUUGAUCGAUGAAUAAGUGGCCAGAAGACCAGAAGCCAUAUGGAAUAGAAAACGUUCACUUUCUCUAGAAACCAUGGCCCUGAAGGAGGAAGAACGUUGAAGUCAAGAGCCAUCACAACAAGGCUGCACACUACCCGCAUGACUCAUCACUGCCAAUGUUCAUCUCCAUGACGUGGCUCAGUAGUGUUUUCCAGAUUCCCCCAUUGUGAAGUUUCUCUUUUUCCCCCUUUACCUUCUGGACUCUUUGAAAGAAAGUAACUACGUGCAGCCCACACUUAAGGAGUGGGGAUUGAGGUUCCCCCUCCUUGAGGAGGGACUAGCUUUGUAAAUUAUUUGGAACUCUCUGCAUAUGUAUUAAAUGAUUUAUUUAUAUCA
Molecule: long non-coding RNA, 1047 nt
Organism: Lemur catta (Ring-tailed lemur)
Lineage: Eukaryota; Metazoa; Chordata; Mammalia; Primates; Lemuridae
Exons: 2
Source: RefSeq, a predicted model, not a curated record